UACGAAGGGGGCUAGCGUUGUUCGGAAUCACUGGGCGUAAAGCGCACGCAGGCGGAUCGAUAAGUCGGGUGUGAAAGCCCGGGGCUCAACCUCGGAAUUGCCGUCGAUACUGUCGGUCUCGAGUCCGGGAGAGGUGAGGGGAAUUCCUAGUGUAGAGGUGAAAUUCGUAGAUAUUAGGAAGAACACCAGUGGCGAAGGCGGCUCACUGGCCCGGUACUGACGCUCAGGUGCGAAAGCGUGGGGAGCAAAAAGG
Molecule: ribosomal RNA, 253 nt
Filed under: uncultured bacterium
Lineage: Bacteria
Description: partial 16S ribosomal RNA
Rfam family: Bacterial small subunit ribosomal RNA
Source: RNAcentral